This 459-nucleotide ribosomal RNA is filed under the name uncultured bacterium. RNAcentral describes it as "partial 16S ribosomal RNA". It matches the Rfam family "Bacterial small subunit ribosomal RNA", at positions 338 to 795 of the family's 1533-position model. The record is from RNAcentral.
CCUACGGGUGGCAGCAGUGAGGAAUAUUGGUCAAUGGUCGGGAGACUGAACCAGCCAAGCCGCGUGAGGGAUGAAGGUACAGAGUAUCGUAAACCUCUUUUGUCAGGGAACAAAGGCGGGGACGUGUCCCCGGAUGAGUGUACCUGAAGAAAAAGCAUCGGCUAACCCCGUGCCAGCAGCCGCGGUAAUACGGGGGAUGCGAGCGUUAUCCGGAUUUAUGGGGUUAAAAGGGUGAGAGGGGGGGCUGUUAAGUCAGCGGUAAAACCCCGGGGCUCAACCCCGGCCCGCCGUUGAAACUGGCAGUCUAGAGUUGGAGAGAAGUAUGCGGAAUGCGCGGUGUAGCGGUGAAAUGCAUAGAUAUCGCGCAGAACUCCGAUUGCGAAGGCAGCAUGCCGGCUCCACACUGACGCUGAGGCACGAAAGCGUGGGUAUCGAACAGGAUUAGAUACCCUUGUAGUC